GUCGGGGGGCCAUUUCUACGAGUCUAACAGUCUUGCUCUUAAUGCUACUUGGUUGUGGCACAUGAAGAGGGAGCUACUGGGAUUAGCUAUGCUCCCAGCCAACUCUCCUCCUGCUUUCUUGCUAGCUGCAUCCUAGGGUGACCUUACUGUUCUCUCCCAGGGUUAGUUGGAGCUAACAUUUUAAUCUUGGGUCCAUUUUUUCCCUUCAAAUCCUAUAAAAACACAAUGCAAAAGAGGAUUGUGAGCUCUUGCUGCCUUUGACCUUUGAGCAAGAAAGCCGGUGAGGCCUGGGAAAUAAGCUACCCUUGGAAACGAAGCCCAGAGGUAAACAACUGAGGAGCUCACCAACCAGUUGGAGAAGUUCCACUUCGUCUGCAGAAUAAAGAGCCUUGGGAAAUAAGACUUCAUCUGUUUUGGUGGAAGAUCAGCAGCGGUAGCUCACCUACACUUGGUGCUACGAUCCUUCCGGUAUCUGUCCUGUGUGCAGAGAAUCCCCACUUUUCCUCGGUUUCCAGUG
Molecule: long non-coding RNA, 517 nt
Organism: Felis catus (domestic cat)
Lineage: Eukaryota; Metazoa; Chordata; Mammalia; Carnivora; Felidae
Exons: 3
Source: RefSeq, a predicted model, not a curated record